GCAAACCUUUAAAAGUUAUGGGAUCUCAGUUAAUGAGAUAGUUGAAACAUUAUAUCAUAAAUUGCAGAUUCUUUUUAUGGAUAAUGAUUUUCCCAACUACAUCUAAGGACUAAAAUUAUUCCCCUGUACUUAUACAUAAUUUUUGUUUUCAUUACGCACAUAUUACAAACAACUUAUACAUCAUAUAUUUAAACAAAUUAACAUACAAAAAC
Molecule: unclassified non-coding RNA, 212 nt
Filed under: Hevea brasiliensis (rubber tree)
Lineage: Eukaryota; Viridiplantae; Streptophyta; Magnoliopsida; Malpighiales; Euphorbiaceae
Source: RNAcentral